RNAcentral lists this ribosomal RNA (465 nucleotides) under Vreelandella stevensii. Its description in RNAcentral is "partial 16S ribosomal RNA". It matches the Rfam family "Bacterial small subunit ribosomal RNA", at positions 338 to 795 of the family's 1533-position model. Lineage: Bacteria; Pseudomonadati; Pseudomonadota; Gammaproteobacteria; Oceanospirillales; Halomonadaceae. The record is from RNAcentral.
CCUACGGGAGGCAGCAGUGGGGAAUAUUGGACAAUGGGGGCAACCCUGAUCCAGCCAUGCCGCGUGUGUGAAGAAGGCCCUCGGGUUGUAAAGCACUUUCAGUGAGGAAGAACGCCUGGUGGUUAAUACCCAUCAGGAAAGACAUCACUCACAGAAGAAGCACCGGCUAACUCCGUGCCAGCAGCCGCGGUAAUACGGAGGGUGCGAGCGUUAAUCGGAAUUACUGGGCGUAAAGCGCGCGUAGGUGGCUUGAUAAGCCGGUUGUGAAAGCCCCGGGCUCAACCUGGGAACGGCAUCCGGAACUGUCAAGCUAGAGUGCAGGAGAGGAAGGUAGAAUUCCCGGUGUAGCGGUGAAAUGCGUAGAGCUCGGGAGGAAUACCAGUGGCGAAGGCGGCCUUCUGGACUGACACUGACACUGAGGUGCGAAAGCGUGGGUAGCAAACAGGAUUAGAUACCCGAGUAGUC